This is a long non-coding RNA of Canis lupus familiaris (dog), 1029 nucleotides long. RefSeq lists it as uncharacterized. NCBI's taxonomy places the organism in Eukaryota, Metazoa, Chordata, Mammalia, Carnivora, Canidae. The record is from RefSeq and is a predicted model, not a curated record. The transcript has 4 exons.
CCCAUUGACCACCCUCUUAUUCCCUGUCCCCUGUUUCUGCUCUGGUACUGAUGUUUCCUGGAAACCUCUUUUAAAUAAAUGACUCAGCUCAAAUCCUUAUUUCAGGGUCUGCUUCUGGGAGACUCUGAUUAGGAAGCAUGUAAUCUGUGUCUCUCCUAUCACACUUAGCUCCUGGAGGGCCAGGCUGGGCUUUAUCUCUGUUCACACUCUGGUUGAGCCUCUGCCCAUUAAGAAUGAGGAAACGGUCAUUUAAUGAAGAGGCUUUGAAGACUAGGGAGAAGUAAGCUAUGGCCAGAUCACGCCACAGAUGGAACCUCUCACAGGCCCAGCAGGCAGGAGCUGGACCCCAACUCUGCUGCGGGCAAGAUCACUGCCGUUUUCCAAUAUCUGGUCUCCUGCUGUCUAGCAUGGUGGCUGCGGCAGCACCUAUUGAUGUGGAGGUGUGACAUUAAGACAUUAUGUGGAAGAAAGAUCCUGCCCUGGAGAGUCACCCAGACUCAAAUCACUGCUAUUUGAGGGCUAUUUGUCACUGUAUCAUGACCUGUCCUGUCCUGACUGAUACCAAGGCCCCCAUCAACAUGGAAAGGGGCUGUCUGGAAGAAGCUGUGCCCAUAAGCAAGAGUAUGGGGGCAGGGCAGGUGUCUCCCCAGGGCAGGGGCACCCUGGUUCCAAGAAGGAGCCACCAGCUUGAGCCAACAAAAUGUUCUCGGGGGGGAGGUAAGGGCUUUGGACAGAGACAAACCACCGUGCCCAAAUUUGAAGACUGGGGUCGGAUCAGAAAGGGAGUAAAGGUGGCUUGUGGGGGUUUUGGGGGAGAAGCUUAAACUAUGUCCAAAGCCUUGACAUUCUGGUGGCAUGCAAGGGGUAGGGGGAAUUUCCAACCACAACAUGCUGGAUUGAUUUGGACAAACAAAAUUUUGUCAAAUUUAAAAAUCACAAAAAAGCCCUGCUUUUCUUAAUUUUUAAUUUUUAAAGAUUUUAUUCAUUCACUCAUGAGAGACACACAGAGAGAGGCAGAGACACAGGCAG